Long non-coding RNA from Telopea speciosissima, 365 nucleotides. RefSeq lists it as uncharacterized. Lineage: Eukaryota; Viridiplantae; Streptophyta; Magnoliopsida; Proteales; Proteaceae. The transcript is spliced from 3 exons. The record is from RefSeq and is a predicted model, not a curated record.
GUCCAAAUCUUGACACAGGUGCUUGUUUAUCAUGAUCUAUUGGGAAUGAUGCAACACACUCACCAUGCAAAGGUCACCCCAAAGUUUUGUAAGCAGUAUGGGCAAAUUGGUGAGGCCAUCAACAAAGCCCUUUUGCAAUACAAAGAAGAGGUGACAAACAAAUCAUUCCCCAGUGCUGCACACACACCAUAUAAAAUCAACCCAGAUGAUUUUAAUGGGUUCGUGAAUGAGUUACAAAAGCUGGGGUUGGACAACGCAGCAGCAGCUGCAUCUGAGAAAUCAGUGGAACUGUAGCAUUGGAAUUAAGGAACUAAGACAAUAUGAGUGAAUAACAUUUAUUCCAACAGUUGCCCACUUUGAGAGCA